AGUAAAGAUUUAUCGCUCGGGGAGCGGCCUGCGCAGUAUCAGCUAGUUGGUAGGGUAAGAGCCUACCAAGGCUAUGACGCUUAGGGGAGGUGAGAGCCUGACCCCCACCGAUGGGACUGAGACACGGCCCAUACACCU
Molecule: ribosomal RNA, 138 nt
Filed under: Candidatus Vogelbacteria bacterium
Lineage: Bacteria; Candidatus Vogeliibacteriota
Description: partial 16S ribosomal RNA
Rfam family: Bacterial small subunit ribosomal RNA
Source: RNAcentral